UGGGGAAUAUUGCACAAUGGGCGCAAGCCUGAUGCAGCCAUGCCGCGUGUAUGAAGAAGGCCUUCGGGUUGUAAAGUACUUUCAGUCGGGAGGAAGGUGUCAAGGUUAAUAACCUUGGCAAUUGACGUUACCGACAGAAGAAGCACCGGCUAACUCCGUGCCAGCAGCCGCGGUAAUACGGAGGGUGCAAGCGUUAAUCGGAAUUACUGGGCGUAAAGCGCACGCAGGCGGUUGAUUGAGUCAGAUGUGAAAUCCCCGGGCUUAACCCGGGAAUUGCAUCUGAUACUGGUCAGCUAGAGUCUUGUAGAGGGGGGUAGAAUUCCAUGUGUAGCGGUGAAAUGCGUAGAGAUGUGGAGGAAUACCGGUGGCGAAGGCGGCCCCCUGGACAAAGACUGACGCUCAGGUGCGAAAGCGUGGGGAGCAAACAGG
This 429-nucleotide ribosomal RNA is filed under the name Acidobacteriota bacterium. RNAcentral's name for it is "Acidobacteria bacterium partial 16S ribosomal RNA". It matches the Rfam family "Bacterial small subunit ribosomal RNA", at positions 355 to 776 of the family's 1533-position model. The record is from RNAcentral. Lineage: Bacteria; Pseudomonadati; Acidobacteriota. RNAcentral also lists the same sequence under 4 other names.